RNAcentral lists this ribosomal RNA (337 nucleotides) under Priceiella lindquistae. RNAcentral describes it as "partial small subunit ribosomal RNA". Lineage: Eukaryota; Metazoa; Arthropoda; Insecta; Psocodea; Philopteridae. The record is from RNAcentral.
UCUUUUGAAUUGAGAUAUGAGUGGAAUAAAAAUAAGAAGCAUGGCGGUCCUUAAUCUCGUUAGAGGAGCAUGUAAUCAAAGGAGAAACGAAUUUGCACGAAGAUCUGUCCUGGUUUGGAAUAGAUUUCAUUUUGUACACCGCUGUCUGAAAGAGAUUAUAGAAGUAUUUUCUUCCUUCUCUUAAGGAAAUAAGGCAAGUUAAGGUGCAGAUAAUAAUCAGGGGGUUAUGUGUUCCAGUAGAAACGUUUAGGUUGAUAGAUGAAAAUUCUAUUAGGAAAGAGAAUUUAAUAGUAAGAUCAGAAACUAAUCUAAUCUGAAGAGGGGCUAUAAAGGGUGU